GGGAAUGUGGCUUAGCGGUAGAGUGUUUGCCUAGUAUGCAUGAAGCCCUAGGUUUGAUUCCUCAGUACCA
This is a non-coding RNA of Dipodomys ordii (Ord's kangaroo rat), 70 nucleotides long. NCBI's taxonomy places the organism in Eukaryota, Metazoa, Chordata, Mammalia, Rodentia, Heteromyidae. The record is from Rfam.